AGAAUCAACGCUGGCGGCGUGCCUAACACAUGCAAGUCGAUCGAGAAAGUGGAGCAAUCCAUGAGUAAAGAGGCGCACGGGUGAGUAACACGUGACUAACCUACCCUCGAGUGGGGAAUAACCUGGGGAAACCCGGGCUAAUACCGCAUAAUACCCACGGGUCAAAGGAGCAAUUCGCUUGAGGAGGGGGUCGCGGCAGAUUAGUUAGUUGGCGGGAUAAUGGCCCACCAAGACGAUGAUCUGUA
RNAcentral lists this ribosomal RNA (245 nucleotides) under uncultured bacterium. Its description in RNAcentral is "partial small subunit ribosomal RNA". It matches the Rfam family "Bacterial small subunit ribosomal RNA", at positions 26 to 285 of the family's 1533-position model. The record is from RNAcentral.